CCACGGGCGGCUGCAGUGGGGAAUAUUGGACAAUGGGCGAAAGCCUGAUCCAGCCAUGCCGCGUGUGUGAAGAAGGCCUUCGGGUUGUAAAGCACUUUCAGUGGGGAAGAAAGCCUUGGGGCUAAUACCCUCGAGGAAGGACAUCACCCACAGAAGAAGCACCGGCUAACUCCGUGCCAGCAGCCGCGGUAAUACGGAGGGUGCGAGCGUUAAUCGGAAUUACUGGGCGUAAAGCGCGCGUAGGCGGUCUGAUAAGCCGGUUGUGAAAGCCCCGGGCUCAACCUGGGAACGGCAUCCGGAACUGUCAGGCUAGAGUGCAGGAGAGGAAGGUAGAAUUCCCGGUGUAGCGGUGAAAUGCGUAGAGAUCGGGAGGAAUACCAGUGGCGAAGGCGGCCUUCUGGACUGACACUGAUGCUGAGGUGCGAAAGCGUGGGUAGCAAACAGGAUUAGAUACCCGAGUAGUC
This 464-nucleotide ribosomal RNA is filed under the name Vreelandella stevensii. Its description in RNAcentral is "partial 16S ribosomal RNA". It matches the Rfam family "Bacterial small subunit ribosomal RNA", at positions 339 to 795 of the family's 1533-position model. The record is from RNAcentral. Lineage: Bacteria; Pseudomonadati; Pseudomonadota; Gammaproteobacteria; Oceanospirillales; Halomonadaceae.